RNAcentral lists this ribosomal RNA (497 nucleotides) under uncultured bacterium. RNAcentral describes it as "partial 16S ribosomal RNA". It matches the Rfam family "Bacterial small subunit ribosomal RNA", at positions 28 to 507 of the family's 1533-position model. The record is from RNAcentral.
GAUGAACGCUGGCGGCGUGCCUAAUACAUGCAAGUCGAGCGAACAGACGAGGAGCUUGCUCCUCUGACGUUAGCGGCGGACGGGUGAGUAACACGUGGAUAACCUACCUAUAAGACUGGGAUAACUUCGGGAAACCGGAGCUAAUACCGGAUAACAUGUUGAACCGCAUGGUUCAACAGUGAAAGACGGUCUUGCUGUCACUUAUAGAUGGAUCCGCGCCGCAUUAGCUAGUUGGUAAGGUAACGGCUUACCAAGGCAACGAUGCGUAGCCGACCUGAGAGGGUGAUCGGCCACACUGGAACUGAGACACGGUCCAGACUCCUACGGGAGGCAGCAGUAGGGAAUCUUCCGCAAUGGGCGAAAGCCUGACGGAGCAACGCCGCGUGAGUGAAGAAGGUCUUCGGAUCGUAAAACUCUGUUAUUAGGGAAGAACAAAUGUGUAGGUAACUAUGCACGUCUUGACGGUACCUAAUCAGAAAGCCACGGCUAACUACGUG